AAAACAAAUAAAAGAAGCCUAAAUGAAAGAUAAGGAUCCAGAACCCCUUUCAAUUCUGUCUUUACAUCUACUCUGUUGAAUUCGAAACUCUAAUGUUAACCGUUUAAUUUUGACAGGGUUUAAUUUCUUCGAAAUAGGCGCUCAUUGGAAUUGCAUAAAUCGGAUUGAAGAAGGACUAUGAACAUACUGGUGUAUUGAAAGCAAAUCAAUGACUUCAAAAAACUGCUCUACAAAGGAUCCCCAAAGAGUACAGGGAAGUCUGUCAUCCCUAUUAUGAUAUUAAAAGGUAGAUGAAGAAAAGGUUGCAGUUUAACUUACAUGUACAUCUGCGAGGACCAUGUCAAAGGUCUCUCCAAAAGCGGUGGUGUAAGUUUUCCAAGAGUGAAUGACUCGGACUUGCACUCUCCAGGAUGUCUUGUAGGGCUUGACAUCAUUGAGGAUUUGUUCAUCUACUACAGGCCCAACAUGGAUAACAAAACAAUAAAACAAUAGUGAGGCCCAACAUAAUAUCAAGAUCCAAUCAGUUGGAUAGGCAGGCGGGUUAUAAGGUGGGCAAUCGGAUAAACACGCGGACCCUACUCUCAAAAUCGAAUCUGUGAUUUUUUAAGUCAAUUUUGCCUUUCUCAAUUUCAAUUAAGUGUCUCCUUUAGUAAUAAUUGAGUGGCAAUUUAAAUAAAUAGAUUAGGGAUUUUGGACAUUCUCUAAUUUGUACUUCUCUUUUAAUUAUAAGAAGAUUGGCCCUUAAGGUA
Molecule: non-coding RNA, 749 nt
Organism: Camelina sativa (false flax)
Lineage: Eukaryota; Viridiplantae; Streptophyta; Magnoliopsida; Brassicales; Brassicaceae
Source: RefSeq, a predicted model, not a curated record